RNAcentral lists this ribosomal RNA (366 nucleotides) under uncultured archaeon. Its description in RNAcentral is "bacterial SSU rRNA". It matches the Rfam family "Archaeal small subunit ribosomal RNA", at positions 451 to 818 of the family's 1478-position model. The record is from RNAcentral.
CCUGGUGUCAGCCGCCGCGGUAAUACCAGCUCUCCGAGUGGUGGGAUGCUUAUUGGGCCUAAAGCAUUCGUAGCCGGUUGGGCAAGUCCUCCGUUAAAUCCAGCGAUUCAAUCGUUGGACUGCAGGGGAUACUGUCCGGCUAGGGGGCGGAAGAGGCCGACGGUAUUCUCGGAGUAGGGGUGAAAUCCUAUAAUCCCGGGAGGACCACCAGUGGCGAAGGCUGUCGGCUAGAACGCGCCCGACGGUGAGGGAUGAAAGCUGGGGGAGCGAACCGGAUUAGAUACCCGGGUAGUCCCAGCUGUAAACGAUGCAGGCUAGGUGUUGGCGCGGCUACGUGCCGCUCCAGUGCCGCAAGGAAGCCGUUAA